Molecule: RNase P RNA, 444 nt
Filed under: Phycisphaerales bacterium
Lineage: Bacteria; Pseudomonadati; Planctomycetota; Phycisphaerae; Phycisphaerales
Description: RNase P RNA component class A
Rfam family: Bacterial RNase P class A
About the family: Ribonuclease P (RNase P) is a ubiquitous endoribonuclease, found in archaea, bacteria and eukarya as well as chloroplasts and mitochondria.
Source: RNAcentral
CGGCGUCGGCAUGCGGCCGCUCGUGCAACCCGCCCCGCGCGGGUGCGCCCGAGAGGAAAGUCCGAGCACGAAAGGACACGGUGGUGGGUAACACCCACCCGCCCGCACGGUCGCGGGCGCGGGACAGUGCCACAGAAAACACACCGCCGAUGGCUCGCCCGACGGCGGGCACAGGCAAGGGUGAAAUGGUGCGGCAAGAGCGCACCGCUCGACUGGUGACAGCCGAGGCACGGCAAACCCCACCGCGUGCAAGGCCAAGCAGCUCCCCCGAUCGUCCGGCCCUCGCGCCGAACGAUCCACCGCCUGUCCGGCGGCUGCGGGGGCGGGUAGGCCGCUACCGAUCGCGCCGGCAACGGCGCGGCCAGAGAAAUGGCCGCACGGCUCGGCAGGUCCUCAGGGAAACCGCCGAUCCGACAGAACUCGGCUUACAGCCGACGCCACGAC